RNAcentral lists this long non-coding RNA (858 nucleotides) under Cricetulus griseus (Chinese hamster). RNAcentral's name for it is "lncRNA (ENSCGRG00015031072.1)". Lineage: Eukaryota; Metazoa; Chordata; Mammalia; Rodentia; Cricetidae. The record is from RNAcentral.
AGUGAAGGUGGGAGGAAGUGCUACCAGUUAGCUACCCAUUGAUUUUUAUUAUCUGUCAGACUGGACCUGAGAGAAAGGUGCAACUAUCCAUCUUCCCUCAGAUAGUUCCAUUUACUCUCCUAACGGGUAAGAAACUUAACCAUCUUCGUGUUCAGCGAUAAAAGAUCGGUGCCUGUUUUUCACUCUUGUGGCUGAAGUUGUAAGAGAUCGUGGAGCAAAAACUUGAUACUUUUGCCACUUGUGAAGAGAGUCUGGCAGAAAACAGAGCUCUGUGAGGUGCUGCUUGUCAAACACAGAUCCCGCAGAUAGACCAGCAACUACAAACAAAGCCCAGAGGUAAAGAGAACAUGUUAUUUGCUACUUUCAUUUUAUUAUUUGGAUUUCUAUUUCUAUGCCAAUGAUAUAAUGAUAUGAAUGCUGACCAGAUUAUAAAACUAGCCUGUGUAAGUCUGGGACUCAUCUCACGUAUAAGUUUUUAAAUGAAGAAAGUUUAAUUAAUUCACCAAGUUUUAACCUCACAUAUAAGCUUUUACUAAGAUGUAAAAAAAAAUUAAAGUUCUCUUUGAUCUGAAAGUUAUUUUAGCUACAAAAUAAAAUAAAACUAUCUAUGUUAUUUAUAGGUAACAGCCUACACAGCUAACUGCUGGAUAAACUUUUGGAUUAAUAAUAAAUUUGAAUGUUUAUUUUUCUUUCCACCAGUUGAUUUCUAGCAUUCAUAAAUCCUCUCAUAGUCUCUUAUUCUUUUUUAUGUUGCAUUCAUUGAAUAUUUUUCUUAAAAAUCAUAUUUCUUUUUGUCCACUAUAAAAAUGAUGUUAUUUAACAUGAAGUAUUUGGGAAUUUUUCAUAUUACUACAUUAU